Molecule: long non-coding RNA, 1348 nt
Organism: Protopterus annectens (West African lungfish)
Lineage: Eukaryota; Metazoa; Chordata; Ceratodontiformes; Protopteridae
Exons: 3
Source: RefSeq, a predicted model, not a curated record
CAGGCUGAAGCCUCACCUGUGGAGUGGAUGCACUGCCCAGGACUGUUUUCCCAAUGAAGACUCCUGCCUGACUGCAACGGGGCUUCCCAGUCAAGACUGAAAACAGGAUGAAGUUUUCUCUUUAUCGGUGGUGUAUACCUUUUUCUUUAAAUGUAAACGAGAAUUUCAAAAGUUAAUACACAAGACGAUUCUGAGCAGAUGGGGAUGGCAAAAUGGGCACAUCAGAAAUGCGGACAUCUGGGAGAAAAAGCCACUUACAGAUUCUAACUCCAUUGUUAAUUGUUGGUGGUAUCGCUGUGCUGUAUGGAGUCCCUUUGGCAAAGUGCGUAACACCAGAAGUAAAAGCAACCAGAGUCAACUCAACAGUAAUUCGGUGGGGGUAGGUUGCUAGUGCACAGAAUAGGACACAAGGUACUUUUACUUGCCCUGCUGAACAAGGAUGGUCUACUGCUAAUUUGACUUCCAAAAAAAUCUAACUAUAUGGAGGGAACAUUUGUAUGUCCAACUACUGGAUAAAUGCAAAAAUAAUGUGUCAAUUUGUAACCUUGCCACUGGUAUUUGAACCUCCUUUGUAUUCAUUUUAAUAUUGGUUACCCCAUUUGAAAGGAAACUACACUGGCUUCUCAAACAGAACACACAAAUUGGAACACUGUACUGAAACAAUAAAUGGACUUAUUUGCUGACAGCAUUCCCCUACAUGUGAACAGUGUUUUCUUCAGCAUUCCAUCAACAUCUGUAAAUGGACUAGAUUACCUCCUACUUUUGAGAUGUUCGUGGAAAUAACACCAAAAUUCAUAUGUUUAGAGGCAAGUCAAACAUUGUUAUAUGCCCUGAAAAAUCCUUUUGUAGGUUGUCUAGGUAAUGUAACUUAUUAUUUGAACUGGCAUAAUGAAACGUAUAUCUUCUCUCCUGAAACAUAUAUUAAUGCAUUUCAUACCUGGUUACCAGACAAGCUGGAAUAUCAUAAUUUAACAUACAACCUAAAUUAUUUACAAAAAGUAUAGAACAAUGCGCAACAUCUUGAAAAACUUUACAGGCAGUAAAUCAUAGUAUUUUACAUCAUAAAAUGACAAGUAUUAUCAUAGAGAAUAAGUUGGAUAGUUUAGCCAAGAAAACAAAAUCUGAUGCAGCACAUAACUGGUGGGAUAUAUUUACUGAAUGGUCAGCAUCUGGCACUAACUUGUUGAAUUGGUUGAUAAAUACACUUAGUUUUGACGAUUAUUUUGAUUUUACUGACAUUCUGAAAUUGUGAAUUAACUUAUUGUGUUUAUAACAAGGCAAAUACAGUUUUGAAUGUCAAAUAUAAGUGAGUCAAUAGUCAAGGGGCCAAAUGUGAUACGAAAGAGGG